Molecule: ribosomal RNA, 164 nt
Filed under: Neotoma lepida (desert woodrat)
Lineage: Eukaryota; Metazoa; Chordata; Mammalia; Rodentia; Cricetidae
Description: partial 12S ribosomal RNA
Source: RNAcentral
UAACAAAAUUAUUUGCCUGAGAACUACUGGCCACAGCUUAAAACUCAAAGGACUUGGCGGUACUUUACAUCCAUCUAGAGGAGCCUGUUCUAUAACCGAUAAACCCCGUUAUACCUUACCAUUCCUUGCUAAUUCAGCCUAUAUACCGCCAUCUUCAGCAAACA